CGUGUAGGUGGCUAAUUAAGUCAGGUGUGAAAUCCUUCCGCUUAACGGAAGAAGUGCACUUGAAACUGCUUAGCUAGAGUACGGGAGAGGAAGGUGGAAUUCCUGGUGUAGAGGUGAAAUUCAUAGAUAUCGGGAAGAACACCGGUGGCGAAGGCGGCCUUCUGGCCCGGUACUGACGCUGAGACGCGAAAGCGUGGGGAGCAAACA
This 207-nucleotide ribosomal RNA is filed under the name uncultured bacterium. Its description in RNAcentral is "partial 16S ribosomal RNA". It matches the Rfam family "Bacterial small subunit ribosomal RNA", at positions 568 to 774 of the family's 1533-position model. The record is from RNAcentral.